UACGGGGGGGGCAAGCGUUGUUCGGAAUUACUGGGCGUAAAGGGCGCGUAGGCGGCCUUCUAAGUCGGACGUGAAAUCCCUCGGCUUAACCGAGGAACUGCGUCCGAUACUGAAAGGCUUGAAUCCGGGAGAGGGAUGUGGAAUUCCAGGUGUAGCGGUGAAAUGCGUAGAUAUCAGGAGGAAGACCAGUGGCGAAGGCGGGUCUCUGGACAGUUCCUGACACUGAGGCACGAAGGCCAGGGGAGCAAACGGG
This 253-nucleotide ribosomal RNA is filed under the name uncultured bacterium. Its description in RNAcentral is "partial 16S ribosomal RNA". It matches the Rfam family "Bacterial small subunit ribosomal RNA", at positions 524 to 776 of the family's 1533-position model. The record is from RNAcentral.